CCUACGGGAGGCAGCAGUGAGGAAUAUUGGUCAAUGGACGGAAGUCUGAACCAGCCAUGCCGCGUGCAGGAAGACGGCUCUAUGAGUUGUAAACUGCUUUUGUACAAGGGUAAACCUGAAUACGUGUAUUCAGCUGAAAGUACUGUACGAAUAAGGAUCGGCUAACUCCGUGCCAGCAGCCGCGGUAAUACGGAGGAUCCAGCGGUUAUCCGGAUUUAUGGGGUUAAAGGGGUGCGGAGGCGGAUUGAUAAGUUGGAGGGGAAAUGGCCGAGCUUAACUCGGGAACUGCCUCUAAUACUGUUGAUCGAGAGAGUAGAUGCGGUAGGCGGAAUGUAUGGUGUAGCGGUGAAAUGCUUAGAGAUCAUACAGAACACCGAUUGCGAAGGCAGCUUACCAAUCUAUAUCUGACGUUGAGGCACGAAAGCGUGGGGAGCAAACAGGAUUAGAUACCCCAGUAGUC
This 460-nucleotide ribosomal RNA is filed under the name uncultured bacterium. Its description in RNAcentral is "partial 16S ribosomal RNA". It matches the Rfam family "Bacterial small subunit ribosomal RNA", at positions 338 to 795 of the family's 1533-position model. The record is from RNAcentral.